GAGGAACGCUUUCGGCGUGCUUAACACAUGCAGGCCGAACGAGAAGUGGAGACGGAAACCUUCGCCCGGAAGGCUGUAACUCUAGUUCCGGACGGGCUAGUCACUCGCGGGCAACCUCCCUCAGACAGGGGUAUAGCAGUGGGAAACGAGUGUUACUCCGGCAUAGGACCACAGCUCCCGAUGCUGCUGGGGUCAAAACUCAGGUGGGAUGGGAUGGACCCCCGUUCGAUUAGACAGUUGGCGGGGUAACGGCCCACCAAAGCGACGAUCGAUAGCCGAUCUGAGAGGAUGACCGGCCACAUUGGGAAUGAGGAACGGGGCAAACUCCUACGGGAGGCAGCAGUGGGGAAUAGUGGACAAUGGGGGAAACCCUGAUGCAGCGACGCCGCGUGAGUGAAGAAGUAUUUCGGUAUGUAAAGCUCUAUCAGCAGGGAAGAAAAUGACGUUACCUGAGCAAGAAGCCACGGCUAACUCCGUG
RNAcentral lists this ribosomal RNA (478 nucleotides) under uncultured bacterium. RNAcentral's name for it is "partial 16S ribosomal RNA". It matches the Rfam family "Bacterial small subunit ribosomal RNA", at positions 31 to 507 of the family's 1533-position model. The record is from RNAcentral.